RNAcentral lists this ribosomal RNA (468 nucleotides) under uncultured bacterium. RNAcentral's name for it is "partial 16S ribosomal RNA". It matches the Rfam family "Bacterial small subunit ribosomal RNA", at positions 28 to 507 of the family's 1533-position model. The record is from RNAcentral.
GACGAACGCUGGCGGCGUGCUUAACACAUGCAAGUCGAACGGAAAGGCCCUGCUUUUGUGGGGUGCUCGAGUGGCGAACGGGUGAGUAACACGUGAGUAACCUGCCCUUGACUUUGGGAUAACUUCAGGAAACUGGGGCUAAUACCGGAUAGGAGCUCCUGCUGCAUGGUGGGGGUUGGAAAGUUUCGGCGGUUGGGGAUGGACUCGCGGCUUAUCAGCUUGUUGGUGGGGUAGUGGCUUACCAAGGCUUUGACGGGUAGCCGGCCUGAGAGGGUGACCGGCCACAUUGGGACGGAGACCGGGCCCAGACUCCUACGGGAGGCAGCAGGGGGGAAUAUUGCACAAUGGGGGGAAGCGGGAGGCAGCACCGCCGGGGGGGGGAGGACGGCCUUCGGGUUGAAAACCGCUUUCGCCUGUGACGAAGGGGGAGUGACGGUAGGGGGUAAAAAAGCACCGGCAAACUAGGUG